Ricinus communis (castor bean) is the source of this 1218-nucleotide long non-coding RNA. RefSeq lists it as uncharacterized. The record is from RefSeq and is a predicted model, not a curated record. The transcript is spliced from 2 exons. Lineage: Eukaryota; Viridiplantae; Streptophyta; Magnoliopsida; Malpighiales; Euphorbiaceae.
AAAUUAUUUAGGAGAAAAGGUGAAUUUGAAUUAGUGAGAUGGUAUUGGAUUUAAUUGAAAAUAGUAAAUAAAUUGAUUAAUUAAGUUAAUUUAGUGUUAGGAUUAAGUUGAAACUUAUAUUUAAGGAAUGGGCUAAAAAUAGAGUUGAAUUAAUAUGUGGUUUAAGUGGAGAAAAUAUAUUGAUUGGUAUUUUUGUAAAUAAUGGUGUUAAUAGGCGCAUUAUGGUGGUUAAAUAAAUAAAAUUGUAUUUAUAAUAAUUAUAAUUUGGCCCAAAAGCAUUAACUGAAACAAUAAAAGCUUGAGGGUCUAAUAAGAAUAUUUCAAGGGCAAAGAUAAUAAAAAAAUGAAAGAAAGAAGAAAAAAGGGGUUUGGAGUUAAAAGUGCUAAUUUUCAAAAUGUAAAGACUAAGUUAUACUUUAGUAGCAUGUGGGGGCGUGGCAUCAUGGUUACCAUUCAACUAGAUAUUUCUAGCUAUUUUAAAAUAAAAUAAUAGAACCAAUUAUUGUUUAUCACAUAUUCUAUGUCAUAUAGGCAAAAUGACUAGUCAAUUAUCAAAGUGAGCCAAUAUUUCUUUUCUCCAUUUUGUAUAUCCCGAAAAAGAAAGAAGGAUAUAAGGAAAGAAGAAAAUAAGAUAGUGAAGAGAGCCGGUGGGUUAUAUGCGAAAAAAGAAAAAAUUAUGAUAUUAAAAUUGUAGGACAAUUUUGAUGUAUACAAUUCUUCAUUUCCAACCAUUUCGAUUUUUGGAAGAUUAUUGUGGAGAAAUAUCUGUCUGGUGUUAUGCAGGAUGUUAAGAGUUGGAACAUAAUAGAAGCAGUAAUAAUAGCAGUUAGAGCUUCGUAUUGCUAGAUUCCCCAGUCUGAGAAAAUAAAAAUAGAAAAUUUGAUAAUUAGUGCUAGUUCGGGCAGUGCCGUUACACAAUAGUUCUAGCUAGGCCUUUUGACGCCAUCAACUUCGUCUGAUGUUGGCAACAAAGAUGGUGUUUACAAUGAGGGAAGAAGGUGGGUUUUGAGUAAAAGUGCUUAUGGUUUCAAACAGUGUUUUGAUUAAGAGAAUGAGUACGGUGGUAGGUAUGAGGUUGGUUCCAGAAGAGUGAUUUUCAUGUGCUGGUUUAUGAUUUUACAGGGUUUUUAUAGUGGGAGUAUGGCAUAGUGGCAGAGUGCUAAAAAUUUGGAAGCUAGAUUUAGAAAUAAAAAAAGAAAUGAAGUGAUUAAAUUUUAA